This 556-nucleotide long non-coding RNA is filed under the name Nicotiana benthamiana. RNAcentral's name for it is "long non-coding RNA (NBEN_LNC022484)". The record is from RNAcentral. Lineage: Eukaryota; Viridiplantae; Streptophyta; Magnoliopsida; Solanales; Solanaceae.
UGGCCAUUCUAGAGGCGGAGCAGAAGGCGGAAGAGGAAGAAGGACCUGAAAAGAGUAGUGCAAAGACAAGAGGAAACAAGAAAAAUAAAAAUGUAGCAUCUAAGUAGUCGGGACCUUAAAUUCUCUCAUCUCCUAAUCUAGUAAAGGGCCUAAAAGACAAUCAUUGAAAUGCUAGUAUAGAUUAUUUCAUCGAAAUGCGGUUGCAGGAAAAUGAUUUUCCUUCUCUCUCCAGGUACGCCUGGAAAUAAUACAGUUUAUUCUGUUGAUACUGACAUAUCAUAAGCAAUCAAUGUUUAACAUGACUUCCAAUGGGGACAAACUGCAGUUGGCCAUUCUAGAGGCGGAGCAGAAGGCGGAAGAGGAAGAAGGACCUGAAAAGAGUAGUGCAAAGACAAGAGGAAACAAGAAAAAUAAAAAUGUUGCAUCUAAGUAGUCGGGACCUUAGAUUCUCUCAUCUCCUAAUCUAGUAAAGGGCCUAAAAGACAAUCAUUGAAAUGCUAGUAUAGAUUAUUUCAUCGAAAUGCGGUUGCAGGAAAAUGAUUUUCCUUCUCUCUCC